Molecule: long non-coding RNA, 2324 nt
Organism: Mesocricetus auratus (golden hamster)
Lineage: Eukaryota; Metazoa; Chordata; Mammalia; Rodentia; Cricetidae
Exons: 2
Source: RefSeq, a predicted model, not a curated record
GUGUGUGUGUGUAUACACAUACAUAUAUAGAGAUAGAAAAAAUCUAUUUUCAAUAUGAGUAAAAUAAUUAAAACUAAUCCAUUAAUUUUUUUAUGUGGUGGGCACUGUUUGCCAGCCUAUGGAUGUGUGGCAACAACAUGCCCCCCCCACUGCCUGCUGCCCAGAAGGCCACCCAGAAGCCCACCACUAAUACUAGCAUCAGUGGUCUUUUGCCCACAUCAGAAAUUGCCGUAUGAAAUGCAUCUGUCCACAUGUGCCUGCUAUGCCUAUUACAAUACAUUUGAAUAUGACUUUGUCUUCUUGGUUUGGUAUUACUGGAUGUUCACCACAUUCCCAGGAGGAUGAAUCUGGAACUAAACAGGCAGCAGAAAAUGUAAAUGACUUAUCUUUGAUACACAGAGAGAUGAAGACUGGCAUUUCUUAAGCAGAUUUAUUUUGGGUGGAUUUUCUCAGGGAGGAACUUCUUCCUUAUACAGUGCCCUUACCACACAGCAGAAACUGGCCAGUGUCACUGCUCUCUCAGUUUCUACUUCAGGCUUUGUUUCUCCAGGGUCCCUAUCCAUAGCUCUUAUAGAGAUAUUUCUAUUCUCUAGGGCCUGGGAGAUGCGACCCUUUUGUUUCCCCUUGCUGUGAAAAACGAAAAGCAUUGAUGAAUCUAUCCAAUUAAUUUUUAAAAGCUAUGUAGACAUUAUGCACAGUUCAUGUCAGCAGCAAUUCAUUGAUAAACUUCUGUCUCCAACUGAUUGACAUCACUAAAAGGCCUUGCGUAGACAUGCACCAUCAACACUGUAGUAGAGUAUAAACCCCUUUCCAUUCCCGAUACUAAAACUCUUAAUGUUUACAGUGUAAAAUAUUUUACAAGUACAUACCAAUGAUACAGACUAAAUGAUUGAAGACAUAAGAUCCUUUUAAGUUUCUGUACAUAUAUCUGUGUUAUACAAUCCAGAGUAUACUAGUAUUCAAGCAGAUGAACAAAAUAAAACACCAUAGCAAGAGUUUUAUUACAUUAUUAAAAAUUACCAUAUGCACACUGAAAAUUUGUUCAGGUCUAAACAAGCUGUUAUAAUAUGAAUGACUUGUUAAUGCUCUGAGUUAGACAAUGGUUUUAUUCCACAGUUGUUUAGUUGUCAUUCAGUGUCUGUGUUUUUAUAUGUGAUUAUAUACAUAUGUGACUACUUAAGAAUUAUAUGGUAUUACAUUAUUCCUGACACUAGGGAUAAUGCUUUUAACUGGCAAAAAUUAAUACUGCUCUCUUCAAUUACUGACCCUUUUAUUGGAGGACCAGACUUUUCUUUUUCUUCUAUUGAAUUAUUCUACUCUCAAAAAAGGAAAAAAAAAUAGGUUCUUUCUUUCUUGAUUUUCCAAAGAAGACUAAUGUUGCCUCUUUGCCAUAAUAAAAACUUGUCAAUAUAUACUUACAUUCUUGAAUCUCAGAUAUAGGGUAUUUCAAAUUUAGGUAAUGUGAAAAGAAACCAAACAUUACUUAAGCUUAUGUAUUUCAAAUAACUGUAUCUUAUUCCACCUUUGGACUGUAGAUUUAUCAGAAUUUUCAGUCCUGGUAAUAAUUCUGUGGUUUUUAUUUCUCUGUAAAAAACUGAAAAGAGUAAACAAUAUCUUGGUAUGUUCAGAAAUAAAGACUUAAGACCAGUCUUGAAGUCUAAUGUCUAAAACAGCUAUAUCUUAUAGCAGAAUUUAAAUUUACAUUCUCUGUACAUAUGUUAUGUGUGAAACCAAACACUGUUCAAGAUGAGCAAUUAGACAUUUUUAUUUUAUCUGGUGGCAAACUAAUUUGAAAUUUUCAUCUUAAAGGAGUUUUUGAGAACUAGCCUCCUGUGCAAAAAUUAAAAUAACAAUCACUUGAUUUUAAAUCAUCAACAUGUCCAGAAUAUUGGUGAAAAUAUUUAAAUUAAUAUGGAUUAUAAGGACUAUUAGAAUCACAUGAAUAUAUAUGUGUGUAUAGUCACCACACAGUUGAAUAUGUUGCACAAUUAUGGUUAUUUCUGAAUUGUAGCUUUUCUUGCUAUUUUACAACUGACCAAGACCAUGCUAAGAAACAUCUUUACUAAUGAGUGCUAACUGACAUGGAGAUGAUUUGGUAUGGACUAGAUAGGAUGUUGAUAAUGAAGCUGUAUGCUUAUGUCCAGAUUUCAAACAAUUAUUUGCUAUUUUGCUUUACUUUGAAGAACAUAAACUUACUUUAGUUAUAUCAUACUAAAGCUUUACUUGGGGGUAAGCAUGUUCCAUUGAAUUCUAGUGUUAUAAUGUUGGAGAAUAUUGUUUUAACAGAUUCUAUCCAUGUGAAAUAAAAUUCAAUUCUGAAGAAA